RNAcentral lists this ribosomal RNA (518 nucleotides) under Escherichia coli. RNAcentral's name for it is "partial 23S ribosomal RNA". It matches the Rfam family "Bacterial large subunit ribosomal RNA", at positions 139 to 699 of the family's 2925-position model. Lineage: Bacteria; Pseudomonadati; Pseudomonadota; Gammaproteobacteria; Enterobacterales; Enterobacteriaceae. The record is from RNAcentral.
UUCGACACACUAUCAUUAACUGAAUCCAUAGGUUAAUGAGGCGAACCGGGGGAACUGAAACAUCUAAGUACCCCGAGGAAAAGAAAUCAACCGAGAUUCCCCCAGUAGCGGCGAGCGAACGGGGAGGAGCCCAGAGCCUGAAUCAGUGUGUGUGUUAGUGGAAGCGUCUGGAAAGGCGCGCGAUACAGGGUGACAGCCCCGUACACAAAAAUGCACAUAUUGUGAGCUCGAUGAGUAGGGCGGGACACGUGGUAUCCUGUCUGAAUAUGGGGGGACCAUCCUCCAAGGCUAAAUACUCCUGACUGACCGAUAGUGAACCAGUACCGUGAGGGAAAGGCGAAAAGAACCCCGGCGAGGGGAGUGAAAAAGAACCUGAAACCGUGUACGUACAAGCAGUGGGAGCCUCUUAAUGGGGUGACUGCGUACCUUUUGUAUAAUGGGUCAGCGACUUAUAUUCUGUAGCAAGGUUAACCGAAUAGGGGAGCCGAAGGGAAACCGAGUCUUAACUGGGCGUUAAG